Non-coding RNA from Entomophthora muscae, 72 nucleotides. Lineage: Eukaryota; Fungi; Entomophthoromycota; Entomophthoromycetes; Entomophthorales; Entomophthoraceae. The record is from the annotation of a GenBank genome assembly.
GCCUGCAUGGCCCAGUGGUAGGGCGUCGCUCUCGUAAAGCGAAGAUCCCAGGUUCGAUCCCUGGUGUAGGCA